CUACGGGGUGCAGCAGUGGGGAGUAUUGCACAAUGGGCGCAAGCCUGAUGCAGCCAUGCCGCGUGUAUGAAGAAGGCCUUCGGGUUGUAAAGUACUUUCAGCGGGGAGAAAGGGAGUAAAGUUAAUACCUUUGCUCAUUGACGUUACCCGCAGAAGAAGCACCGGCUAACUCCGUGCCAGCAGCCGCGGUAAUACGGAGGGUGCAAGCGUUAAUCGGAAUUACUGGGCGUAAAGCGCACGCAGGCGGUUUGUUAAGUCAGAUGUGAAAUCCCCGGGCUCAACCUGGGAACUGCAUCUGAUACUGGCAAGCUUGAGUCUCGUAGAGGGGGGUAGAAUUCCAGGUGUAGCGGUGAAAUGCGUAGAGAUCUGGAGGAAUACCGGUGGCGAAGGCGGCCCCCUGGACGAAGACUGACGCUCAGGUGCGAAAGCGUGGGGAGCAAACAGGAUUAGAUACCCCGGUAGUC
Molecule: ribosomal RNA, 464 nt
Filed under: uncultured bacterium
Lineage: Bacteria
Description: partial 16S ribosomal RNA
Rfam family: Bacterial small subunit ribosomal RNA
Source: RNAcentral